GCGGACGGGUGAGUAAUGUCUGGGAAACUGCCUGAUGGCGGGGGAUAACUAGUGGAAACGGUAGCUAAUACCGCAUAACGUCGCAAGACCAAAGUGGGGGACCUUCGGGCCUCACGCCAUCAGAUGUGCCCAGGUGGGAUUAGCUGGUAGGUGGGGUAACGGCUCACCUAGGCGACGAUCCCUAGCUGGUCUGAGAGGAUGACCAGCCACACUGGAACUGAGACACGGUCCAGACUCCUACGGGAGGCAGCAGUGGGGAAUAUUGCACAAU
Molecule: ribosomal RNA, 271 nt
Filed under: uncultured Serratia sp.
Lineage: Bacteria; Pseudomonadati; Pseudomonadota; Gammaproteobacteria; Enterobacterales; Yersiniaceae
Description: partial 16S ribosomal RNA
Rfam family: Bacterial small subunit ribosomal RNA
Source: RNAcentral